This 478-nucleotide ribosomal RNA is filed under the name uncultured bacterium. RNAcentral describes it as "partial 16S ribosomal RNA". It matches the Rfam family "Bacterial small subunit ribosomal RNA", at positions 28 to 523 of the family's 1533-position model. The record is from RNAcentral.
GACGAACGCUAGCGGCGUGCUUAACACAUGCAAGUCGAACGGUAAGGCCCUUCGGGAUACACGAGUGGCGAACGGGUGAGUAACACGUGGGUGAUCUGCCCUGCACUUCGGGAUAAGCCUGGGAAACUGGGUCUAAUACCGGAUAGGACCACUGCCUGCAUGGGUGGUGGUGGAAAGCUUUUGCGGUGUGGGAUGGGCCCGCGGCCUAUCAGCUUGUUGGUGGGGUGAUGGCCUACCAAGGCGACGACGGGUAGCCGGCCUGAGAGGGUGACCGGCCACACUGGGACUGAGAUACGGCCCAGACUCCUACGGGAGGCAGCAGUGGGGAAUAUUGCACAAUGGGCGCAAGCCUGAUGCAGCAACGCCGCGUGAGGGAUGACGGCCUUCGGGUUGUAAACCUCUUUCAGCACCGACGAAGCGCAAGUGACGGUAGGUGCAGAAGAAGGACCGGCCAACUACGUGCCAGCCGCCGCAGUAA